This 1923-nucleotide small RNA is filed under the name Histoplasma capsulatum var. duboisii H88. Its description in RNAcentral is "Histoplasma capsulatum H88 hypothetical RNA". The record is from RNAcentral. Lineage: Eukaryota; Fungi; Ascomycota; Eurotiomycetes; Onygenales; Ajellomycetaceae.
UCACAAACCACUUCUCACCACACACACAGCCAGUUCUAUCAAUGCCUUCCCUACUCUUCUAAGCAUCCCAUUACCUUUCACACAUAGUAUAUUUUAGUGCUUGACGGGCACAGCAGCGCUUAUGCGUGUAAUUCCUUCCAUCUUUACUUCCCAGGACUACAUAUCUGAUCAUCUCUGGAAAGCUUCGGUAAAUUGAGUCAUAAAACGAGCCAGCGGGUUACAAAAUAUAGAAAAAUCAACAAUGUUUGCACGAGUUAUCAAAUCAGCCCCAGUGGGGACUCAUAUUACCGCUGCUUUGAGGGGUCCAGCUUUUAACGCGCGGUUUAUGGCUACCGUCAAUCGAACCGAUUUGUCCCAGACCGCCAACCCUUCUACCAAAAUCAGCCCAUCCUCUCAUGACAGGGCGACUUUCACAAUCAGAGAUGGUCCGGUAUUCCACGGGAAGUCAUUUGGCGCCAAGUCAAACAUCUCUGGCGAAGCUGUCUUCACCACUUCUCUCGUGGGAUACCCGGAGUCCUUGAGUGACCCUUCUUAUCGUGGCCAGAUUUUGGUCUUCACCCAACCCUUGAUUGGUAACUACGGUGUGCCAUCCGCUGAACGAGAUGAAAAUGGCCUUCUUAAAUAUUUCGAAUCCCCGAGUCUCCAGGCUGUUGGUGUUGUCGUUGCUGAUGUUGCCGAGCGCUACAGCCACUGGACGGCUGUUGAGAGCCUCGGUGAAUGGUGUGCUAGGGAAGGUGUCCCCGCAAUUUCUGGAGUUGACACUCGCGAAAUUGUCACUUAUCUUCGAGAGCAGGGUUCUUCCCUAGCCCGAAUCACAAUUGGCGAGGAAUACGACGCUGAUCAGGACGAGGCCUUUGUUGACCCGGAGCAAAUCAAUUUGGUGCAAAAGGUCAGCACCAAGGCUCCCUUCCAUGUCAGCCCUGGCAACAGCACUGCACACGUUGCUGUUAUCGACUGCGGCGUGAAGGAGAAUAUCCUGCGAAGUCUCGUCAACCGGGGUGCCAGCAUCACUGUCUUCCCUUACGACUAUCCCAUCCACAAAGUCGCUCACCACUUCGACGGAGUGUUCAUCUCCAACGGACCUGGUGACCCAACCCACUGCCAUGAUACCGUCUUCAACCUCCGCAAGUUGAUGGAGACGUCCCAGGUACCAAUAAUGGGGAUCUGCCUUGGCCAUCAGCUCCUUGCCCUGGCGUCUGGUGCUCGAACCAUCAAGCUGAAGUAUGGCAACCGCGCGCACAAUAUCCCAGCUCUGGAUUUGACGACAGGUCGCUGCCAUAUUACCAGUCAGAAUCACGGAUAUGCCGUGGAUGCUUCUACGCUUCCAAGCGACUGGAAGCCUUACUUCAUCAACUUGAACGACUCUAGCAACGAAGGCCUUAUCCACAAGACCCGACCUAUUUUCAGCACCCAGUUCCAUCCGGAGGCAAAGGGUGGCCCGCUCGAUUCUUCGUAUCUUUUUGAUAUCUACCUGGAGAGCGUGCAAAAAUACAAAACCACCCAAGCUAUGUUCCAACCUCAACGAGACAGCCGCCCCAGCUCUCUGCUUGCUGAUCUUUUGGGCAAAGAACGAGUUGGAGUACAGACUACCAUUGGCGUCCAGACUGGGCCUAUCGCAGCCGAUUCUGCCGCUGCUACUGUUGCUGCCACUGUUGCUGCCGCCGCUUGAUUGAUGGAUUUUGCUGGCGCCUUUUGCUUAUAUUCUCUUUUUGCCCAUGGCUCUUUGGCGUUUGAUUCUUGUCUUUUGUGUUUGUUAUUGUUUUGAUCCUUUUGCAUUUAUCGCGUCUCGAGUGCGUAGACCAUCGUUCAAUCCCAUGAUACUUUAUUUACCUACUAAGCUCUUUAUAAAUAUAUCAUUCAAUUGCAUUAUCAUACCUCGUACUGCGAUAGUCAUCUUUUUCUGCAUAAAGGCAGUUCCCCAUC